Molecule: transfer RNA, 77 nt
Filed under: Campylobacter rectus RM3267
Lineage: Bacteria; Pseudomonadati; Campylobacterota; Epsilonproteobacteria; Campylobacterales; Campylobacteraceae
Also listed under: 1 other name
Description: tRNA-Glu
Rfam family: tRNA
About the family: Transfer RNA (tRNA) molecules are approximately 80 nucleotides in length. Their secondary structure includes four short double-helical elements and three loops (D, anti-codon, and T loops).
Source: RNAcentral
UGGCCCUUUCGUCUAGCGGUUAGGACACCAGCCUCUCACGUUGGUAACACGAGUUCGAUUCUCGUAAGGGUCACCAA